AGCAGCCGCGGUAAUUCCAGCUCCAAUAGCGUAUAUUAAAGUUGUUGCAGUUAAAAAGCUCGUAGUUGAAUUUCGGGAUUAGUACGCUGGUCGUGCCUUCGGUAUGUACUGGUGUUACUGGUUCCUACCUUCUGACGAACCGUCAUGUCAUUAAUUUGGUGUGGCGGGAAACCAGGACUGUUACUUUGAAAAAAUUAGAGUGUUUAAAGCAGGCUCGCGCUUGAAUACAUUAGCAUGGAAUAAUGAAAUAGGACGUUCGAUCCUAUUUUGUUGGUUUCUAGGAUUGACGUAAUGAUUAGUAGGGAUAGUUGGGGGCAUUAGUAUUCAAUUGUCAGAGGUGAAAUUCUUGGAUUUAUUGAAGACUAACUACUGCGAAAGCAUUUGCCAAGGAUGUUUUCAUUAAUCAAGAACGAAAGUUAGGGGAUCGAAGACGAUCAGAUACCGUCGUAG
This 450-nucleotide ribosomal RNA is filed under the name uncultured Glomeromycotina. Its description in RNAcentral is "SSU rRNA". It matches the Rfam family "Eukaryotic small subunit ribosomal RNA", at positions 569 to 1023 of the family's 1831-position model. The record is from RNAcentral. Lineage: Eukaryota; Fungi; Glomeromycota.